RNAcentral lists this ribosomal RNA (266 nucleotides) under uncultured archaeon. RNAcentral's name for it is "partial 16S ribosomal RNA". It matches the Rfam family "Archaeal small subunit ribosomal RNA", at positions 717 to 982 of the family's 1478-position model. The record is from RNAcentral.
AGGUCACUGACAUUAGAUACCCCUGUAGUCCAGGGUGUAAACGCUGCCGACUUGGUGUUGGAGGCCCUUCGGGGGCAUUCAGUGCCGGAGAGAAGUUGUUAAGUCGGCCACUUGGGGAGUACGUCCGCAAGGAUGAAACUUAAAGGAAUUGGCGGGGGAGCACCGCAACGGGAGGAGCGUGCGGUUUAAUUGGAUUCAACACCGGAAAACUCACCAAGGGCGACUGUUACAUGAAAGCCAGGCUAACGACCUUGCUUGAUUUUCAG